UGGCCGGAGGCAGAGAUGCUCUGGGCCCAGCCUAGCUAGUUUCUCUUAAAAGGAAAGCAAGUUGUAUCUGUGUCCACUUUCUAACCCAGGGCUUUCUGUGAAACACAGCAUCAAAACUGUAGUGCGAUUACAAGGAAUUUCCUGACUACAUCUUCUUGCCCCCUGUAUUUUCAUGUAAAACCAUUUUUACUUAAUCAUGGGGUCAUUUACUAAGAUAUGUUAGAACUGGGCUGUGGUGUCAGUGAGUUAAAAUUGGUGGUACGAGGAUUAAACAAACAGCCUGUUCACAGCUUCUCAACAGUGGUCUGAAAAAUGUGUGGGGAAAGGUGAUGAUGGCUGUAGAAAGAUAUUUUACACACACGAUAGUGUUCAAGGUAAAGUUACAGUCUGGUUGGCAUGUUCUGAAAGGAGUGAGAGAGGUGACCAAGACUGAAGCCAAAAGACUAAGAAUCCAUGUACCAAGUUAUAACCAGAGUUGUGCUUUAACUUUUAUAUAAUGUACAGCAAUGUAUUUCAGGGUCAUCUGGAUACUGUAUCCAGUAAAUGGGUUUUGUAGGAAGGAAGAGCUGUGGUGAGAGGAACUAUUCUUUUUCUCUUCUGAGACAUCUUCCCAAGGAAAAGUAGUAUUUCUGUACUUAAAGAGUUCAUAGAGCAUUUAUGAAAGUAUUUCUGUGGUGAAAACUCCCAUCUUGCAGAAAAGCAAAGUACAGCAAUUCUGAUGACAUUGACUGAUCUGUAAUGGGUUACUGUGAGGUAGCAAAAAAAUGUGUCAGCUAUCCCUACUGUUGUUUCAUUAAUAUUGAUUCCAAUGCUGCUAUUUACAGUAUUUAUAGCUUAAACAUAAAUUUGCCAUGCAAAGUGUCAGUAUAGCUUAAAUGUGUUCCAGUGGCUGAUUGAUGUGCUAUAAAUUUCAUUUAAAUACAUUUGUAUGUGAAUAGACAUCCAGGUAUCCUUUCCAGCCAUGGCACUAUGACAGAAUCAUCAUUCCUUAAAUGUCUUUUAUUACAAGACUGUAAGUGGACUGUUAAACUUUUGGCUCAAGGGCACAAUAACCCUCAGAUCAGCAUAAUUUAAUCAUCAAAGUAACCUAAUGGAAAGUUAAACUUGAUAUACAAGACAAUGUAAUUUCCCCCCAUUUCAUCUAUUCCACGCCUAUAGAUUUUUCUAAAAUGGGUUAAUUUUAUAUAUUGAAAUGUCAUCACAAGCAUAAAUGCUUUUAUGUAUUUUUAUAACCUUCUUAUUUUGUGGGUUGGAAACUAUUCUUAUUUCCUCUUUAUCUGCUUUGUAAAUUAUAAUUUUAUUGGCCUGGAAAAUAAUUUCAGGGAUGUAAAAUUGGGGCAUGCUAUGCAUAUAUUUGUUCUCAUUACAAAUACUUUGACAAAAAACAUAUCUCCUUACUACACAAAACUACCCAUAGGGCCAUAGAAGAAAAUAUACGUGAUUUUGAAGAAAUUGCUCUGUAAAAUUCUGUAGGAAAAUAUGAAAUCAUCUCUUGCAGAAACAAAAGAGGUAGCAUUUUCAGUAAUAAGUAUUAGUAGUAAGAUGAACACAUUGUUCACAUGUAUGUGUACACAUGAGUAUUACUGUGCAUAUAUAAAUAAUAUCUAAACAAAAUCAAAUCUAUUUCUGUCAUUGAAAGUGCUAGAGAUUUACACUUUAAAAUCAGAGUGGGAGCAGGAUCAUUUUAAAGAUUUGAGUCUAUAGACCACAGAAGAGUGAUCAGGAACUGUGAUGAUGGCACUGACUUCUAUCAACUUGUAUAAGAGAGGUUCACCAGGUAAUGUCCCCCAGAGGAAUCACUGCUGCAGGAGGAUGUGUCUACUCAUCCUGCAGCUCCAGCAGAAGGGCCUGUAUCCAAAAGGCCAUUCUCCAAUGCAGAGUGUGCAGCACAAGUGAGGAGCAGGAGGUGUGUGGAUUGCUUGUAGCUUGCAAGGGACCUUGUGGCCCAGAAUGCAGAGAGUUCACAGGCCACAUGCACCGUCCUCCAGGAACUGGACCACAUUGAAGACCAGAGUUCCUGGAUGACAUCCAGACUAAACCUCUGCCAAAACACCAGGUUUUCCAUUGCUCAAGAUUCACAUGUCAACCCUUCCCAUCUUGAGGAUAUAAACAUAAGAAAAGCCCUGCUGGAUCAGGCCCAAGGCCUAUUUAGUCCAGCAUCCUGUUUCACAGUGGCCCACCAGAAGAACACAGAUGAUAGACCAGACCCAGUGUGGGCUGCAGAUUUCAUAUGGGCUUUGAAGGCACAUCAGAUCUCUGGAUAAAAGGCAUUUGCGUAUGUGUCUUUGGCCGUCUUCUCAUGACAUUUCCAAGAGGCAGCUUCUUUAACCAUAUGCUGUACUAAUUAAUUGAAGUUGAAAUCUUACACAUGAAAAACUCUAUCCUUUGAAAGAAAAGGCCAAAGGACAGUUAUUUGGAUGAGAAUGAGGUUGAUCUGUAAGAAGCCAGACCAUUUUUUCUUCUUUACAAAGAAACCUUUAGGAAACACAAAAAUAUUGAAACAUUAGAUUCUCUUGGCACAAUAAAAAAGAAAACUACACAGGAAAAAAAGAACAAU
This is a long non-coding RNA of Hemicordylus capensis (graceful crag lizard), 2557 nucleotides long. RefSeq lists it as uncharacterized. The record is from RefSeq and is a predicted model, not a curated record. The transcript has 7 exons. Lineage: Eukaryota; Metazoa; Chordata; Lepidosauria; Squamata; Cordylidae.